RNAcentral lists this long non-coding RNA (269 nucleotides) under Homo sapiens (human). RNAcentral's name for it is "non-protein coding lnc-CISD1-6:1". Lineage: Eukaryota; Metazoa; Chordata; Mammalia; Primates; Hominidae. The record is from RNAcentral.
UUGGCUUCAGUUAUUCCCACAUUCCUUUAUCUGUACUUCUUUAUGCCUGGUUUUACCCUACUGAUCAGCUAGGACAACCGGCAUUACUAGGCACUGAUGGUGGCUGAGCUCACCCAGCAGAUUUUUGACUCCAAGAACGUAACGGCUGCCUCCGACCCCCGCCUUGGCUGCUACCUAACAGUGGCUGCUGUUUUCAGGGGCCACAUGUCCAUGAGGGAGGUGGACGCUUAGGGUCUAAAACAAGAGCAGCAGCAACUUUGCUGAUUGGA